GCACAAGUUCCGAGGAGUUCAUGGUUAUGCAACACCCUGUGCGCACAUAAAUACCAUACCAGCCUCCAUCUUCCGUCCUUAACAGGCUUAGCAUCGCAGGGCACUUUGUUCUAGCGGAUGAACUUGUUCUCGCUGUCCGGCUUGCCCUGCAGAAACACCACCAUUUAAAUUCACACUCCUGCACAUAAAUCCGCAAGCACUUCCUUCGAGUACAAAGUGAAAAAAAUAGGGACUCACUGCACAACUGCAAGCAAUCCCUGGGACGUUUUGGUGACACUUUCCUGAUACCGAAAACAUUCUCCCAUGAGUACAGAUUGCAGAAUUUGCUCCUCGAGGAAAACCCCUGAUUGCCGCCUCGAGUGGAGGUACAAGGUUUGCAAUGACAACACUUCAUUGGGUAAACUGGAUGGCGCCGCCUGAAAAAUGCCACCAAGACACAUAAACCAACUAAGAAGGAUCACUAUCGACUUUUUUAGUGCUGAUCAGAACCACACACCAUAUCCGCGGUGAGAACAGUAGGGUUUAAAUUGGAGAGACAGAAAUAAGUGUUCGCUAUAUGGUUGGAUUUUUUUCCUGUCUUUGAAAAUAGGGGGUAUGGAUAAUGUCACCGCAGAAAACAAAUUGCUGGAUGUGUUUCUGGUAAGAUUUUUUUUGCGUGUGUCACGGAGUGCACUUUUGGAGCAAAAACUACAGGACACACCGAGCUGGGCUUGUUCUCCGAUAACAAUAAGAAAACAUCGAACAAGUGAGCAGCAGUUCAGUAAUUUGCAGAAUUCUUCAUACUGCAAUUCAGUAUCAAGAAAGACAUGUACCUGCGCUUCCACUCACCCGGGAUGCACUGAGAGGUGCCUCCCCAGAGC
This 860-nucleotide long non-coding RNA is filed under the name Triticum aestivum (bread wheat). Its description in RNAcentral is "long non-coding RNA (TAES_LNC011179)". Lineage: Eukaryota; Viridiplantae; Streptophyta; Magnoliopsida; Poales; Poaceae. The record is from RNAcentral.